UCAACGAUACCGCAAACCAUUCGAAAGGAUGGGACGCAAAGCCAAGGGCCUUCUGCACAGCAGGUGGUAGCCGGUUACCGAA
RNAcentral lists this non-coding RNA (82 nucleotides) under Petrocella atlantisensis. RNAcentral's name for it is "c-di-GMP-I riboswitch aptamer". It matches the Rfam family "c-di-GMP-I riboswitch aptamer". From Rfam's summary of the family: GEMM was predicted in a large-scale screen for bacterial structured RNA regulatory elements. Genes associated with GEMM are involved in a diverse array of functions, including chemotaxis regulation, signal transduction, secretion and chitin. Lineage: Bacteria; Bacillati; Bacillota; Clostridia; Lachnospirales; Vallitaleaceae. The record is from Rfam by way of RNAcentral.